GACGAACGCUGGCGGCGUGCUUAACACAUGCAAGUCGAGCGGUAAGGCCCUUCGGGUACACGAGCGGCGAACGGGUGAGUAACACGUGGGUGACCUGCCUUUAGCUCUGGGAUAAGCCUGGGAAACUGGGUCUAAUACCGGAUAUGACCUCAUGACGCAUGUUGUGGGGUGGAAAGCCUUGUGCGGCUAGAGAUGGGCCCGCGGCCUAUCAGCUUGUUGGUGGGGUGAUGGCCACCAAGGCGACGACGGGUAGCCGGCCUGAGAGGGCGACCGGCCACACUGGGACUGAGACACGGCCCAGACUCCUACGGGAGGCAGCAGUGGGGAAUCUUGCGCAAUGGGCGAAAGCCUGACGCAGCGACGCCGCGU
RNAcentral lists this ribosomal RNA (369 nucleotides) under uncultured bacterium. RNAcentral's name for it is "bacterial SSU rRNA". It matches the Rfam family "Bacterial small subunit ribosomal RNA", at positions 28 to 402 of the family's 1533-position model. The record is from RNAcentral.